GCACACAGCGACGUUAGACAACGACACACUGAGUGGAGAUUUUUUUUAGUUGCAUGUUGGGGGCGACGAAGAGAGACAGAUUGUGUUAGCUGGGAGAGAGCGGAGGCCGCACUCCAACCCGCGGCCUCUGCAGCCAGGACUACAGCCUCUGCAUUUAGGGGGCGUGUCAUAACCACUAGGCCAUUCGGCGCCCCUAUAGAAACAGUUUUUCCUGGGGGCACUGGUGGCGCAGUGGUUGGUGUGCACGCCCCAUGUAUGGAGGCUAGCCUCCAAGCGGGUGGCCCGGGUUCGAAUCCUACCUGUGGCUCCUUUCCUGCAUGUCAUUCCACUCUCUCUCUCUCUGAUUUACGACUCUAUCCACUGUCCUGUCUCUACAUUAAAGGCACAAAAAGCCCCCCAAAAAAAAGAUGAGAUCUUGCAACAAACAAAUGUGUGACGGCUCGUGGUCUACUGUACGUCCAUCUUUGAAUGUUUGACCGUCAUUGCAUCGGCAAGUUUACGACCCAGUAUCUGUAACUCUGCAGCUUAAAAACAGGAAAUAACAGACGUGAAAUAACCUUUAAGAUACUUUCAAUCCGACAGUGAACUGUGCAGAGGUGUGCAGUAUUAGCGAGCUACACAUGCACAUUUAACACACCUGGAUUUUUCUAUCCUUGUGGGGACAUUCUGCACAUUUUCUCCAGUGAUGGUUAACGUUAUUGAAAAGGUAGCUUUGUAGCGUGCAGCUGUAGGAAGACUUUCUUGCUCCACCAGCUGGGCGUUCCAUUAGUGUUUGAUGUCAUGUGAAUGUGUGACAGUCACAGAUCCCUGUGUGUGUGUGUGUGUGUGUGUGUGUGUGUGUGUGUGUGUGUGUGUGUGUGUGUGUGUGUGUGUGUGUGUGUGUGUGUGUGUGUGUGUGUGUGUGUGUGUGUGUGUGUGUGUGUGUGUGUGUGUGUGUGUGUGU
Molecule: long non-coding RNA, 943 nt
Organism: Labrus mixtus (cuckoo wrasse)
Lineage: Eukaryota; Metazoa; Chordata; Actinopteri; Labriformes; Labridae
Exons: 2
Source: RefSeq, a predicted model, not a curated record